CCUGGAGCGCCAGCCAGACAAAUCCUCACAUCGGCAACAUUUCUAAGUUCGAUCUGCUGGUCCACUUUUCCCUUUUCCUGACUCUGUCAUAUAUUUAUUUUUUUCGUAACCGUUUCUUAUGUUUGUGCGAUUGAACCAAUAUAACAUUUGAGCUUGAUUAAAUAGAAAUGAAUGAAAACAUAUUUUAAAGUCCUAGAAAAAAAUGCAUGUAGAUGUGCUUCAUAAGAUUAAGUUAAGUGACUUUUUUCAUUUUUUAUGUACUAUCAACAUAUUUUAGUUCAACAUGUUAGUCUUUACAACUGAAAAAAGCAUGUUAGUCUUUUAUGGGGACCAUGCAAAUAUAAAAGAAAUAUCAUAAUCAGGUGUUAGGAUGAACAUUUAACAUGCAAGGAAAAAAUCAGGACAGUCUCAAACUUAAAGGAGGAUUUUUAUUUGUUUAAUUCUGAAUUAUUUGGCUAUUCGAAGCUUGGGAGCAAAAGGUAUGCACUUGAUAUUGUGUUACAAUACUUUUAUGGAAGAUAAUAUAGAGAAAGCAGUAAACAUACACGUAGAAAGGUUCCACUACCAAAACAGCACCUGCAUCAUAUUUUGCAUACACCUAAUAAGAUGGAGAAAAUGGAGAACUUCUUCUUAUCAAGCCUAACUUUUUUAUCUGCACUAUGACUUGUAACAAAAAACUAUUAGAUUUUAUAAAACAUAAAUUAGAUUAGUUUUAAUCUCAUGUUGUGAUAGUCACCUUCUUCGAAUCUGUCCCUUGCCAUUCUGAAUAUUUUUGCAAGUAUAUUAUCUCUAUCCAGCAUAUUUUAAGUUCCUCGACGAUGUGAGCAUCUAUUGACUCCAUUUUAUCUUCAAACUUCGACGCCUUAAUCCUGUUUCUUACCUCAUUUUCAGUGUCACAGAUGUACAACUGUGCCCAGCGUGGUCUGUCUUUACCUUCAGGUAGUAGAGUGCCUAUUCUGUGGUAAUUUUGCCCAUUCAUUCUAAAACAUAGGACCCACUGCUAUUGUUUUUUUUUUCUAUUUUCCCUCCAAUUGUCGUGAAAGCGAACAUGGAGUUGUACAAUCUGAUAUUUUGUGUAUAUUUUUUUGACCUGUUUCUAUUGUCUUUCCUUAGCGAUUCUGCAAGGUAAGUCGGUAGCUCUCUGAAUGGUGGCAAAUCAACCUUUCCCUGUUGGCAUCAUAGUCCGAAAGAUGGCAUGCUUUUCACUCUACCUGAAGUUCUUUCUUCGUACCAGAAAAUUGCGCCACAUCGGUCACACUUGGAGCUUGGUUUUCCUAUUAGUCCUUUCCGAUAUCCUGUCCAAUUUUCCGAUUUAGCAUCAAUUUAAUGUUAGCAUUGUCUCGUAUUGUUAAUACUUCAAAAAAAUCAAUAGAACUUAUGUAUCUCGUGUUUAUUUCUUUCUGCUUGAUAUUGAUGUAGCACAAUUUUUCUUACUUUUAGUCACACUAGUUGGAUGCCCGUGCGUUGCCACGAGAUAAAAAUAUAUUUUUAGACGGAAUAAAAUACUCCCUCUAUUCCUAUGCAUAGGGCCUAAUGUGUUUGUCGAGGCUAACAUUGACCACAUGUUAAAGCAAUAAUAUAUGGUAAUAUAUGACAGCAAAUUACACAAAGCAUACCAUCAAAUUUGUAUUUGAAACGAGUUUUCAAUGAUAUAAUUUUCAUAUUAUACAUCUCAUAUACUAUUAACCUUAUCAAUAGUCAAAGCAGACUCGAAAAACACAUUAGGCCCUGUAUAUAUGG
This 1740-nucleotide long non-coding RNA is filed under the name Triticum aestivum (bread wheat). RNAcentral describes it as "long non-coding RNA (TAES_LNC011783)". Lineage: Eukaryota; Viridiplantae; Streptophyta; Magnoliopsida; Poales; Poaceae. The record is from RNAcentral.